AAGAUGACAUCAUUGCUGUGAGUCAUACUUUUAUGAACAGGAUUAAUCUUAGCAUAUAAAAGAAACUGCCCGGAUUGUCAGAAACCGGGACAGCUUU
This is a regulatory RNA element of 97 nucleotides. It matches the Rfam family "pan motif". The record is from Rfam.